CUUACCUUAUUUUUUUUUUAAUUUUUUUAAUAGUUACUUCCCAAAUACAACUUUUUUUUCUACUGUAUAGCAUGGUGACCCUGUUACACAUACAUGUAUACAUAAUUUUUUUCUCCCAUUGUUGUGCUCUGUGGUAAGUAUCUAGACAGUUCUCAGUGCUACACAGCAGGAUCUCAUUGCUAAGCCCUUCCAAAGGCAAUAGUUUGUAUCUAUUAACCCUAAGCUCCCCAACCACCCCACGCCCUCCCCCGCCCCAGCAACCACCAGUCUAUUCUCCAAGUCCAUGUUUUCUUUUCUGUGGAAAGGUUCAUUUGUGCCAUAUAUUAGAUUCCAGACAUAAGUGAUAUCAUAUGGUAUUUGUCUUUCUCUUUCCGACUGGCUUCACUCAGGAUGAGAGUCUCUAGUUCCAUCCAUGUUGCUGCAAGUGGCAUUAUUUCGUUCUUUUUUUAUAGCUGAGUAGUAUUCCAUUGUGUGUAUAUACCACAUCUUCCCAAUCCAGUCAUCUGUCGGUGGACAUUUGGGUUGUUUCCAUGUCUUGGCUAUCGUGAAUAGAGCUGCAAUGAACAUGCAGGUGCAUGUGUCUUUUUUAAGGAAAGUUUUGUCCGGAUAUAUGCCCAAGAGUGGGAUUGCUGGGUCAUAUGGUAGUUCUAUGUAUAGGUUUCUAAGGUUAUCUCCAAACUGUUCUCCAUUGUGGUUGUACCAGUUUACAUUCCCACCGACAGUGCAGGAGGGUUCCCUUUUCUCCACAACCCCCUCCAGCACUUGUUAUUUGUGGACUUAUGAAUGAUGACCAUUCUGACUGGUGUGAGGUGGUAUUUCAUGGUAGUUUUGAUUUGCAUUUCUCUAAUCAGGGAUGUUGAGCAUUUUUUCAUGUGCUUGCUGGCCAUCUGUACAUCUUCUUUGGAGAAAUGUCUAUUCAGGUCUUUUGCCCAUUUUUCCAUUGGGUUGUGGCUUUGUUGCUGUUGAGUUGCAUAAGUUGCUUGUAUAUUCUAGAGAUUAAGCCCCUGUCAGUUGCAUCAUUUGAAACUAUUUUCUCCCAUCCUGUAAGUUGUCUUUUUUGUUUUCUUUUUGGUUUCCUUCGCUAUGCAAAUGCUUGUCAGUUUGAUUAGGUCCCACUGAUUUAUUUUUGCUCUUUUUUUCUGUUGCUUUGGGAGACUCACCUGAGAAAAUAUUCGUAACGUUGAUGUCAGAGAAUGUUUUGCCUGGGUUCUCUUGCAGGAGUUUGAUGGUAUUUUGUCUAAUAUUUAGGUCUUUCAGCCAUUUUGAGUUUAUUUUUGUGCGUGGUGUGAGGGUGUGUUCUAGUUUCAUUGAUUUACAUGCAGCUGUCCAGGUUUCCCAGCAACGCUUGCUGAGAAGACUGUCUUUUUCCCAUUUUGUGGUCUUGCCUCCUUUGUCGGAGAUUAAUUGACCAUAGGUGUCUGGGUUUAUUUCUGGGUUCUCUAUUCUGUUCCAUUGGUCUGUAUGUCUGUUUUGGUACCAGGACCACGCUGUCUUGAUGACUGCGGCUUUGUAAUAUUGCUUGAGGUCUGGGAGAGGGUUAUGCCCCCUGCUUGGUUUUUGUUUCUCAGGAUUGCUUUGGCAAUCCUGGGUCUUUUGUAGUUCCAUAUAAAUUUUUGGAUUGUUCUGGUUCUGUGAAAAAUGUCAUGGGUAAUUUGAUGGGGAUUGCAUUGAAUCUGUAGUUUGCCUUGGGUAGUAUGGCCAUUUUUACAAUAUUAAUUUUUCCAACCGAGGAACAUGGAAUACCUUUCCAUUUCUUUACGUCUUCUUUAAUUUCCUUGAUUGAUGUUUUAUAGUUCUCGGCAUAUAGGUCCUUUGCCUCCUUGGUCAGGUGUAUUCCCAGGUAUUUGAUUUUUUUGGGGUGCAAUUUUAAAAGGUAUUGUGUUUUUGUAUUCCUUUUCUAAAGCUUCAUCGUCAGUAUACAGAAAUGUGACUGAUUUCUGAAUGUUAAUCUUAUAUCCUGCUACUUUGCUGAUUUUUUUGAUCAGUUCAAGGAGUUUUUGGGUUGAGUCCUUAGGGUUUUCUACACAUAGUAUCCUGUCAUCUGCAUACAGUGACAGUUAUCUCUUCUCUUCCUAUUUGGAUGCCUUUUAUUUCUUUGGUUUGUCUGACUGCAGUGGCUAGGACUGCCAAUACUAUGUUGAAUAGCGGUGGUGACAGCGGGCAUCCCUGUCUUGUUCCAGAUUUUAGUGGAAAGGCUUUCAGCUUUUCUCCAUUGAGUAUUGUGUUUGUUGUGGGUUUGUCAUAAAUGGCUUUGGUUAUGUUAAGGAAUGUUCCCUCUUAUACCCACUUUGGUAAGAGUUUUUAUCAUGAAUGGCUGUUGGACUUUGUCCAAUGCUUUUUCUGCAUCUAUUGAGAUGCUCGUGUGGUUUUUGACUUUUCUUUUAUUAAUGUGGUGGAUGACGUUGAUUGAUUGGUGAAUGUUGAACCAUCCUUGUGCACCCGGGAUGAAUCCCACCUGGUCGUGGUGUAUGAUCUUUUUCAUAUGUUGUUGGAUUCGAUGGGCUAAAAUUUUGUUGAGAAUUUUUGCAUCUAUAUUCGUCAAAGAUAUUGGCCUAUAGUUUUCUUUUUUGGUGGCAUCUUUGUCUGGUUUUGGAAUUAGGGUGAUGGUGGCAUCAUAGAAUGUCUCUGGGAGUGUUCCUUCUUCUUCAACCUUUUGGAAAAGUUUAAGGAGGAUGGGUAUAAGUUCCUCUUUGUAUGUUUGGUAGAAUUCGCCUGUAAAGCUAUCUGGUCCUGGACUUUUAUUUGUGGGGAAUGUUUUUAUGACACAUUAACUUUCACUUCUAGUGAUCAUUCUGUUCAGUUAUCUAUUUCUUCUUGUUUCAGUUUUGGCAGGCUGUAAGUCUCUAGAAAGUUGUCCGUUUAUUCCAGGUUGUCAAAUUUGUUGGCAUACAAUUGUUCAUAGUAUUCUCUCAGAGUUUUUUGUAUAUCAGUAUUACCUGUUGUGACUUCUUUUUCAUUUCUGAUGUUAUUUGGGUUUUUUCUCUUCUUGAUGAGUCUAGCCAGAGUUUGGCAAUUUUGUUUAUCUUUUCAAAGAAACAGCUCUUGGUUUUAUUGAUUUCUUCAAUUGUUUUUUUAAUCUCUAUUUUAUUGAUUUCCUCUUUGACCUUUAUGAUUUCCUUCCUUCUGCUAACUUUAGGUUUUGUUUGUUCUUUUUCUUUUUUUCUUUGUUUUGUCUUUUUGCCAUUUCUUGGGCAGCUCCUGUAGCAUAUGGAGGUUCCCAGGCUAGGGGUCUAAUUGGAGCUGUAGCCACCAGCCUAUGCCAGAGCCACAGCAAUGUGGGAUCCGAGCUGCAUCUGCAACCUACACCACAGCUCACGGCAACGCCAGAUCCUUUAACCCACUGAGCAAGGGCAGGGUCUGAACCUGCAACCUCAUGGUUCUUAGUCGGAUUCGUUAACCACUGCGCCACGACGGGAACUCCUGUUCUUCUUUUUCUAAUUAAUUUAGGUGUUGGGUUAUGCUGUCGAUUUGAGAUUUUUCUUCUUUUUUGAGGAAGGCCUGUAUUGCUAUGAAUUUCCCUCUGAGCACUGCUUUUGCAGCAUCCCAUAGAUUUUGAAUGCAUGUGUCUGCAUUGUCAUUUGUCUCGAGGUGUUUUUUAAUUUCCUUCUUGAUUUCCUCAUUGACCCAUUGGUUCUUCAGUAACAUGUUAUUUAGUCUGCAUGUAGUAAGUUCUUUCUCAUUUCUUUUCCUGUGGUUGAUGGCAUACUUUAUGAGGUUAACAUUAUCCUGAUGCUAAAGCCAGAUAGAGACAUUACAAGAAAAAACAAUGUUACCAAUAUUUCUCCUGAACAUAGCUACAACCAUCCUUAUAUAUUUUUGCAAAUUAAAUCUAAAAAUGUUUUGAAAAGAAAGUACAUCAUGGCCAAGAAGAGUUUAAUUCAAGAAUGCAAGUUUUGUCCAAUAUACAAAAAAGAAGUUGGUAUAAGUCAUCAUAUCAGUAUCCUAAAAAUAAUAACCAUAAGAUCAUUUCUAUAGAUGCAGAAAAAUUAUUUGGCAAAAUUCCACAUCUGUUUAGAAUAAAUACUCAGCAACUAGGAAUAAAGAGUAGCUUCCUCAAAUUGUUAAAGGACAUCUAUAGAACAUCUACAGUGAGCAUAUUUAAUGGUGAAAGACUAUACAGUCUUGCUCUAAAAUUGAAAAAAUGUUAAAUAUGUCUGCUCUGCUCUUCCUAGUGAUCUUAGCCAGUGCAGUAGGGAAAACAAAAAAAGUGGAGGGAUGGAACAAAGUCAGGAAAGGAAAAUAAAAUUGUCUUUAUUUGCAGACAACAUGGUAUAUACAUGUUUGCAAAAGUAUUUUAAAAAAUCUACUAGACCUAAUUGAGUUUCACAAAAUAUCUAAAUGAGAUACACUGUAUAUACAGAUGGAAAUAUUCAGUAUUGAUUGUUAAGAUAACACUUUUCCUCAAAUUGAUCUAUAUGUUCAAUCCAGUCAUCAACAGACAUUUAUGUGGAAUUUGACAAGCUGAUUCAAAUCUUAUAUGGAAAUGCAGAAGACCUAGAGAACAAAACACUCAAGAAGACUCACAUUACUUGAUUUCUCAGCUUAUUAUAAAGCUAGAGUAAUCAAGGAUGUGGUAUUGGCAUAAGAAUAGGUCAAUGGAUCAGUAUAGUCUAGACACAUAUGGACAAUAAAUUUUUUUAGCAGUUUAAGAAAUCUUUAUUUAACUGUUGAGUCUCCUUUUUCAUUUGUUCAUUUUUUAAUUCAUGCUCAGGAAGUUACUUCUGUAUCCUUAACAAAUCACAUCUCCUCCCUCUCUCCUACCCAGAAAUCCUCCUUCUUCCCUUAGAAUUUCUGAUGCUGGAGAGAUCUGAGAGUUCUCGGAAAAUGUUUAAAGUCACCAGCCAAGACUGGAGCAUGCAGGUGGUACUAAUAGGCGCUGGCUCCAGAUUUUGUUGAGAUGAUCAAGAGGAAGCCUAAUCCAAUGCCUCAUAUUGCUUUGGGAUUCCUUAUCGAAGGAGAUCCUUGGAGAGCUCCCAGAUGUGGCCGUCUGAAGAGUGUCACAUUGUCUACAGUUGUACCUGCCAGAGGUAGGCCAGGCCAUCUUUGGAGGGGCCAUGAACAUACUGUAAGGCUCUUAGGCUAUUCGCAAAGUGGUGUGUUACUUGCAGAUCGACUGGGAUAAGCUAAAGGUGAAUAGUACAAAUACUAGACAAACCACUAAAAUAGCAAGUUAUUUUAUAGCUAAUAAUCCAAAAAGAGGAUAAAAAGGAAUUACAACGAACAGUCCAAAAGAAGGCAGAAAAAAAAAAAAAAA
This 5254-nucleotide long non-coding RNA is filed under the name Sus scrofa (pig). RNAcentral's name for it is "lncRNA (ENSSSCG00030027188.1)". Lineage: Eukaryota; Metazoa; Chordata; Mammalia; Artiodactyla; Suidae. The record is from RNAcentral.